Molecule: long non-coding RNA, 684 nt
Filed under: Homo sapiens (human)
Lineage: Eukaryota; Metazoa; Chordata; Mammalia; Primates; Hominidae
Description: LNC_000634
Source: RNAcentral
UGCUGGAGGCUGAGUCAGUCCCGGCACGGCACGAGAGCUGUGUCCCAAGGGGCUCCCUGCCAGACACCCUGGCCCCCAAUCAAGGCCAGGGCCAGGCACGGGGCUGGAGAGGUGGCGGGGUGCAGGAGCCAGGCUCCAAGGCUACAGCAAGUCCCAGCAGAGUGGGGCGGCCCAGUGAGAUCACGUGUCUGCACCCAACUCAUGGUGCUGGGCAGUGGAGAGGAGCAGCAUUACAAAGGGAGGCUGAAGGCUCAUCCCUCAGGGAACCGGAGCCCCCCAGCCUGUGGGGCUUGUGUCAGCCCUGAACAGAGGGCAGAAGUUCAAGGGGACUGAAGAUGCAGGUAGUUCCCAAGUGACCUAGGAGUCCCCAGAGCUGGGGGGUGUGGCCUUCAUAGGACAAGGAGGAAGACAGGAGGAUCCAACCCCAGCAUGGAGGGGGGAGUGGGCAGUCUCCCCAAUUUGGCCCCCCUAGGUCAGUUCCACGUUGUUGGCACGGUCAAGCACUCGGGAGCCACGGGCACUACCCCCAAGCUGGAAACGGCUCUCAUAGAGAGUGGGGCAGAGGUGCCAGCGAUUGGCCCGGUAGAUGCCCAGGUAGGUGUAGACAUCAGGCUUGUAGGUGAGCAGGCACUUAAUGCCCGCUGCACGGAUGGCUGAAUCCGCCUCCAGUACACCCAAGCGGUC